AUGUCAGGGCUGGUGCUGAUGCUGGCGGCGCAGUGCAUUGUGGGCAGCUCCCCCUCCCUGUGCCGUCUCAGUCUCCACCCCAGCUGGGACGCUGGCCUACACAGCCUGGGCCGCAUCCCGAGGCCUGGAACGGCGCCCUGCCCCCAGCACACAGACCCACCCUCUUCAGCCUGUCCUCCAGGGGUUUUGCUCCUCCCUUCUCACCUCUGUCCCCAUCCCCAGGGUUUCACUCUCCUGUCAUUCCUGACAGCCGUUCCCAGCUGUCUCCAUAACCUCUCUUGUCCUCGGUGCCUGCAUUCCUCCCACCAGCCUCCUUACCUACUUCCUCAGCCCUUCAACUGUGCCCAGAAAUCCUUCUCAUGGUCCUGUCCCCUCAUCACCUGUCAUGAUGAGCCCCUCACCUGUUCCAUCUUAUGCAACCCCCUCCUCUGAUCCUGUCACCCCUUGUCCCCUGCACUCCCCUCUGCCCCCUUCCACACCUCUUAACCUGAUCCCAUUACUCCUCGCUCAUCUCUUUCACCUCUUUUUAACUGUGCUCCCAGAUUCCCUCACACACCUGGCUCACACCUUGCAUAGGUGCACCUCAACACCUAUAUGCACGUGCUAGGAUGAGCUCCCAGCCACUUGGCUAUGCCCCCGCAACCCACACGCACACACACAUAAGGGGCCCCCCACUCUUAAACAUACACACUUGCCGACAGAUAUUCCUUAAACCUCCUCCCCAAGCCCUCAAUAACUACACACCAAAGAGUCUUGAGGGGGCAAUCAGGGAGCAGCCAGGUUCCUCGUGUUCGUGUCAUCAGCCCUAGCCUGGGCUGGCUGCAGUCCUCUGAGGCAGAGAGUGGGAAGGAUGCUGGGCAGGGAGAGGCAGGGAAUCCUCAUUCAUCUUCCUGCCUCUACUCCCCCUUUUCCCACUUCGCCUGUUCCUUCCACGCUUGCCCGUCUAUAGAGUGGGAGCAGGAUUCACAUCUUCCUCAUCAAUCUAUAGAAUCCUCCAUCCCAGGGCUGGAAGGCCCACCCGAGGUCACCCUCUUUAACUCCUUACGGCUCCCCUCCCCCGUUUACUGGUUCAAUUGCUUCUUCAAUCUUGUCUUCAACCUGUCUCCUCCACUUUUAUUCCAGAAUCCCCCAUCCCUACCUCUCCCUUCAUCCUGCCAUUGCCCCCACUGCUCUCUGAGUUCCUGAUGAUGCCCCGAAUGUCAUUUGGCAGAAGGAAAGUGGAGACCUAUUUGCUAUCCCCACAGUUCUGAUCCUCUGAAGUUGUGUGGAUGGGGUGGGGAAAGUCAGCUGAGUCAUUUGACAGGAAGAGUGAGAGUAUCCCUCUCCCGGAAGAUCCCUUCUCCACCUGUCCCUCAUGGCACACCGCGACCUGUUGAAGAUCGUUUUCAUGCCUUCACUACCC
This 1402-nucleotide long non-coding RNA is filed under the name Sus scrofa (pig). Its description in RNAcentral is "lncRNA (ENSSSCG00055020745.1)". The record is from RNAcentral. Lineage: Eukaryota; Metazoa; Chordata; Mammalia; Artiodactyla; Suidae.